This 431-nucleotide ribosomal RNA is filed under the name Phanerophthalmus purpura. RNAcentral's name for it is "partial 16S ribosomal RNA". It matches the Rfam family "Archaeal large subunit ribosomal RNA", at positions 1903 to 2683 of the family's 2987-position model. The record is from RNAcentral. Lineage: Eukaryota; Metazoa; Mollusca; Gastropoda; Cephalaspidea; Smaragdinellidae.
AAACAUAGCCCUAAGAAAUAAUUUAGGGUAAGAUCUGCCCAAUGAGAAAUCAAAUGGCCGCGGUACUCUGACCGUGCUAAGGUAGCAUAAUCAGUUGACUUUUAAAUGAAGUCUGGAAUGAAAGAAGAAACGGAAUCUAGCUGUUUCAACUUUUUUAAUUCUAAGUUACUAAUUAGGUGAAAAGGCCUAAAAAAGAUAAAAGACGAGAAGACCCUAAGAGUUUGUAUUUUUUUUUGUUGGGGCAACAAGAGACCAAAGAAUGUCUCAUUUUUUAUAAGACGGUUUUUUCAUGAUAAGAUAAACUACCUUAGGGAUAACAGCAUAAUUCUUUUUGAGUUUGUGACCUCGAUGUUGGACUAGGAAGCCUUUAGGCUAGCUGCCUAACAGGGGGAUUCUGUUCGAAUUUUUACUCCUACGUGAUCUGAGUUCAG